CUGUCACAGCACCUGGUACAAGAGACAAAGAUGCUACACUCCCCUUCAGCGGGGUCCCUGGUACAUCUGCCAGGAUUUAUCAUUAUCUAAAACAUCCUUGUCACCACCAUGUAUCCCCUUUCAGCCUCUGUGUUUUGGGAAAGGACCCUUGUCAGUUUUCCUGGCACCUGCCAACAGCUGCACACCUGGCAUGUGAAUGGCACUGGAAUGUGCUGUGAUUGUUUCCCUCUUUAAUGAACCCACCUGAGGGGCAUUAAGCUUUUUCUCCAGUAGCCUAGUUCCCAGGCAUUCCCAGUUAUUCUGCUUGUGUGGAGAUCCAAAAACUCUGCCAUCACAAUGAACUAAUCCAUCUGCCAGACGUCUCAUAACCAAAUCUGCAGGACUCCCAAAGGAGAUUUUGGCACCAGUAAUUUAAGCUAAUGAUUUCUAAACAUAUUUAGUCAGUUUUAUGAAGACCUCAUUAGAAUGUGACUGUUUAUUAAAAAUCCAAAUGAGGUCUCACAGUCAUUUAGGAAAAUUAUUGUUGAGUCACCAUGAAUAGUUCUGACAAAAGAUGAUAAAAUGUUUUAUAGUUAAGGGAAUUAGGGACCAGAAAUGUUAACCUCUGUCACAGUUGAGGAGGGAGUGGAUGCUUCAAAGAAUAUUAUCUGCCCAAGGAAGCUAACCUAAAAUUGCUUUAACAAUAUUUCUCACUAAAAGAAAAAAGCUAGACAUAAACACUAGACAUAAAAGUCAUCUUUCUAAAUCACACACAGGGAAGGUAUACUAAGAUUCCAGGUGCCCCUAUUACAUGCAACAAAGAACAUCUGCUUUUCUGCAGUAGCCUCCAAAUCUAGAACCAAUGAGAGACGCAAGAGAGAGCAAGGUUGCCCUUUUAUAAAAUGUGGAAAUAUUACUUAACAAUGAUAAUUACUUAAGUCAUGCCUACCAGUACAAAAAUGCAUUAAUACUUUUUAACUACAAAAUAUCUCUACUUGUUUCAAGACAUCAAACUUAUCUAUGAAAGAGAAGGGCCUAAUUGUUUCUGUAGACAUUGUUGAAAUUCUCCUUUCUUGAACUCCC
This 1062-nucleotide long non-coding RNA is filed under the name Marmota monax (woodchuck). Lineage: Eukaryota; Metazoa; Chordata; Mammalia; Rodentia; Sciuridae. The record is from RNAcentral.